AGUGAACGCUGGCGGUAGGCCUAACACAUGCAAGUCGAACGGGAGCACAGUAAGAGCUUGCUCUUACGGGUGGCGAGUGGCGGACGGGUGCGGAAUACAUCGGAAUCUACUUUUUCGUGGGGGAUAACGUAGGGAAACGUACGCUAAUACCGCAUACGACCUACGGGAGAAAGCAGGGGAUCUUCGGACCUUGCGCGAUUGAUUGAGCCGAUGUCGGAUUCGCUAGUUGGCGGGGUAAUGGCGCACCAGGGGGCCGCUCCGUAGCUGGUCUGUGAGGAGGGUCAGCCACACUGGAACUGAGACACGGUCCAGACUCCUACGGGAGGCAGCAGUGGGGAAUAUUGGACGAUGGGCGCGAGCCUGAUCCAGCCAGACCGCGUGGGUGAAGAAGGCCGUCGGGUUGUAAAGCCCUUUUUUUGGGAGAGAAAAGCAGCAGGGUAAUACCCCGCUGUUCUGACGGUACCCGAAGAAUAAGCACCGGCUAACUUCGUG
Molecule: ribosomal RNA, 492 nt
Filed under: uncultured bacterium
Lineage: Bacteria
Description: partial 16S ribosomal RNA
Rfam family: Bacterial small subunit ribosomal RNA
Source: RNAcentral